AACGAACGCUGGCGGCAUGCCUAACACAUGCAAGUCGAACGAGACCUCCGGGUCUAGUGGCGCACGGGUGCGUAACGCGUGGGAACCUGCCCUUAGGUUCGGAAUAACUCUCCGAAAGGGGUGCUAAUACCGGAUAAUGUCUUCGGACCAAAGAUUUAUCGCCUUUGGUUGGGCCCUCGUUGGAUUAGCUAGUUGGUAGGGUAAAAGCCUACCAAGGCGACGAUCCAUAGAUGGUCUGAGAGGAUGAUCAGCCACACUGGGACUGAGACACGGCCCAGACUCCUACGGGAGGCAGGAGUGGGGAAUAUUGGAAAAUGGGCGAAAGCCUGAUCCAGCAAUGACGGGUGAGUGAUGAAGGCCUUAGGGUUGUAAAGCUCUUUUACCCGGGAUGAUAAUGACAGUACCGGGAGAAUAAGCUCCGGCUAACUCCGUG
Molecule: ribosomal RNA, 433 nt
Filed under: uncultured bacterium
Lineage: Bacteria
Description: partial 16S ribosomal RNA
Rfam family: Bacterial small subunit ribosomal RNA
Source: RNAcentral